Molecule: unclassified non-coding RNA, 208 nt
Filed under: Hevea brasiliensis (rubber tree)
Lineage: Eukaryota; Viridiplantae; Streptophyta; Magnoliopsida; Malpighiales; Euphorbiaceae
Source: RNAcentral
AACCAAUGCCAGCUAAAUAGCAGAGCUCAGGUCAAGAAUUCUCCAUCUUCAAUUCCAUUCUCUUCCUGCUUCCUGCCUCCUCCCAUGAUGCAGAGAUGGAGCAGAAAGAAAUCCCAUUUUCCUUUGGCGGUAUUUGUCUUGCUCGUCUUCAUAACUUGUUCAAUUCUUUAUAACGAAACUAGCAUUAAACAAAUCCAUGAACACCCAG